This is a long non-coding RNA of Salvelinus sp. IW2-2015, 529 nucleotides long. RefSeq lists it as uncharacterized. The record is from RefSeq and is a predicted model, not a curated record. Lineage: Eukaryota; Metazoa; Chordata; Actinopteri; Salmoniformes; Salmonidae.
AGAGUACAUCUUCAAAUUACUUUUGUAUCAUAUUGUUGAUACUGUUAACACGAAUUCCCUUUAUCUUACAAGGCUCUGAAAUGCAUUUGGCUAAGCCAUCUUUUGAAGUAUCUUGCACAAAUAAUGCAAAAGAAGAAAUGUGCAAUUCCACCACAGCCUGUGGAUGGAAUGGUUUCCUGAAACAAGUGCAAUUUAUUUGCUCUAAAGUUUUGAACGGCGAGUUCCAAUGCAAGCAUGAAAUAACUGAACCUUCGGAGAAAGAAACAUGUAAAAAACUAAUGGAGAAUUUUUGCAAUAAUAACUCCGAAUGUGGAUUCAAUCACUCUGCUAUUAUUAACAACAAUGCUUUAAAAUGCACCAUAAAGAUUAAACAAGCAUUGUCGACACAAUCAAUUGUGUCAGCAGUGAAAGCGGAUGAACCCAGAAAUGAAACAUCUGGAAACGACGCAAAUUCCAACUGGUCGAACAAUUUCACUUGCAUUUGCAUUGCCAGCAUUAUCAUUGGAUUUUUCAUUGGAUUUUUCAUUGG